AAAGUAUGUACUAAAGUAAUUUU
This 23-nucleotide small nuclear RNA is filed under the name Arabidopsis thaliana (thale cress). RNAcentral's name for it is "snRNA_14914". Lineage: Eukaryota; Viridiplantae; Streptophyta; Magnoliopsida; Brassicales; Brassicaceae. The record is from RNAcentral.